UGUAAUCUGGUGUUAUUAAAUGCAUGUUAUGUUUUGGUCAUAGAGGAAAUUAGAAGUUGAUUACAG
This 66-nucleotide transfer RNA is filed under the name Echinostoma paraensei. RNAcentral's name for it is "tRNA-Gln". The record is from RNAcentral. Lineage: Eukaryota; Metazoa; Platyhelminthes; Trematoda; Plagiorchiida; Echinostomatidae.